AAAAUAACCUCCACCAUUACAAUCCAUCAAAGGGAAGGAAAGAAAAGCAUGUUUUGCUUUUCCUCUUUCCUUCAUUCCAUUAUCAUCAUGGUAACCAAGUGCUGUGUGCUGUGUUUGUUGCUUCAAUGAUUCUUCUUUGGAUUGUCUUUCCUCUCCCCAUCCAGACCAACCAUAUUUUAUCAGACCAUUAAUAUCAUCAAUCAACCCAGACAGAUAACUGAACAAACCACCCAUUUGAGGCCAUCUCAAAUGGAGGACAAUAUUUCCCACUUCCUCUCACAGCUUUUCCCAAAAUUGUGGGUUCAAGAGUCCGACAAGCAUUCAGACUGCCGCUGCUUUAGCUAUUUUGAACUUUCAUUUCUUCUCAGGCUGCCAUAAGAUAUGUGCCCCCACUGUUACUUCUCCCCGGGGCAAGAAACGCCAUUCGUAAGUCUACAGUCCCGAUUCGAAAUAAUAGCUGGAUGGGUUGGUUAAGAACAAGAGCCAUAAUCCUCUACCCACCCGCAGGUUGUUUUUGCUCUGUA
Molecule: unclassified non-coding RNA, 524 nt
Filed under: Hevea brasiliensis (rubber tree)
Lineage: Eukaryota; Viridiplantae; Streptophyta; Magnoliopsida; Malpighiales; Euphorbiaceae
Source: RNAcentral